Molecule: ribosomal RNA, 447 nt
Filed under: uncultured organism
Description: partial 16S ribosomal RNA
Rfam family: Bacterial small subunit ribosomal RNA
Source: RNAcentral
UACACUCCUGCGGGAGGCAGCAGUGGGGAAUAUUGGACAAUGGGCGCAAGCCUGAUCCAGCCAUGCCGCGUGAGUGAUGAAGGCCCUAGGGUUGUAAAGCUCUUUCACCGGUGAAGAUAAUGACGGUAACCGGAGAAGAAGCCCCGGCUAACUUCGUGCCAGCAGCCGCGGUAAUACGAAGGGGGCUAGCGUUGUUCGGAUUUACUGGGCGUAAAGCGCACGUAGGCGGACUAUUAAGUCAGGGGUGAAAUCCCGGGGCUCAACCCCGGAACUGCCUUUGAUACUGGUAGUCUUGAGUUCGAGAGAGGUGAGUGGAAUUCCGAGUGUAGAGGUGAAAUUCGUAGUUAUUCGGAGGAACACCAGUGGCGAAGGCGGCUCACUGGCUCGAUACUGACGCUGAGGUGCGAAAGCGUGGGGAGCAAACAGGAUUAGAUACCCGAGUAGUCC